Long non-coding RNA from Cercocebus atys (sooty mangabey), 2355 nucleotides. RefSeq lists it as uncharacterized. The record is from RefSeq and is a predicted model, not a curated record. NCBI's taxonomy places the organism in Eukaryota, Metazoa, Chordata, Mammalia, Primates, Cercopithecidae. The transcript has 2 exons.
UGCAUUUCAGCAUUCCUGAGCAGGACGUGCGCUGAUAACUAGACUUUGUGUUUAUCCAGACAUAUGUUUAUAGAGUAUGUGAAAGUUUGCAGUAAAUUACUGUGUAGGCUAGUCAACACCAUCCCAUUAUUGAUGAGGUGCCUAGAGUCUGGCAUUUAAUAGAUAAUGUUUGUUUAAUAGAUAGGAACCAUGUACAUAUACAUGUCUUCCAUGACACAAAUUUUUAAGUACUAAUGGACCUUUUUCUUUUUUCCAUGACAUCCUUAAAUCAUGAAUUUGCCAAUUUUUUUCUUAAACUGUGAAAUAGAAUGAAAGAAGUUUUCUUAUUUUUUCUUAGAGGAGCAAACUUACCUCCUUACUUUUGAAAUAUCAGCGAAAGGAAACAUGUAAUUUUGCUACACAAUAAAAUGAUCCUUUCUAACCUCUGGGAUAUCUUGUUUCAAACUACUUGAUAUGUGGCAUUACAUCUGGAUCUCAAGUUGAGAACGCCUAAUUGUAGUGAUGUUGAGUGUAUGAAGUGAUUUUAGUUUAUCCACUCAGUUAAAGGUUGCUAAUCCUUGAGUCUUGUGGCAGAAGACUUGAACAGGGGCAGAAGGAUUGGCAUAAAUUCUUGCAGAAGCUUAGAAUGCCCUUUCUAAGAAGGGGAUUCCACUGAAACAAUAGGUAGGUGUAAGUGUUAUCACCACAUGGUUAGAUAGAAGGGGGUUCCACUGAAACAAUAGGUAGGUGUAAGUGUUAUCACCACAUGGUUAGAUAGAAGGGGGUUCCACUGAAACAAUAGGUAGAUGUAAGUGUUAUCACCACAUGGUUAGAUGGCACUUUUCUUUGAGACUUUAACUUGUUGUAUUGAUGCUUCCAAAUUAGGGAAAUAUAUACGUAAUUUGUUAUGGUUAGAGAGAAAUUCAUAAUAGAAUGGGUUGCUAAAAUCAUGUGGUAAGUUAGUAACAGAACCAUGAACAGGUAGAGUCCCUUGGGGUCAAGAUUGCCAGGCUAUCCCUGUUCUUUUUGUUUUAGGUGUUAGGUGAAGCCCAUUUAGCUAAUAAACUGUGGGAAUUAGCUACCAAGGUUCUGUGGCAGAGAAAUAACAAAUACACAGUAAUUUUGUUAAUACUGAGGGUUUUGUUUCUUUUUAACCUAAGUUUACCAGAUUUCUCCUUACAUUAUGAGUACGGAGACUUUUGUUUUCUUAUGAAACAGGAAUUGUAAUAAACAGUUAUCACCGCAUUGUCUCAAUUUGCAGCUGUAAUAACACGACGAUACAGAUUAAGACACCCCUCAGUGCAGAAUGCAGAACAGUUCUCAUGAUCUCCACCUUCCUUUCGUUUGAGCUGGCUGCCUUAAAGACAGAGGCUUCCAGACUCUUGGGAAGAUUCAGGGUUUUGGUUUAUUUUGCCAUGUUUGGGUCCCUUUUUCUGAUAUAUAUUAGCCUAUUAUUUUCACCUCCAUACAAAUUUGCCUUUAUAAUUAAUUACUGAAAACAUAAAAAUAGACUUUAAGUGAAUCGAAUUCAGAAUAUCCCACAGAUGAUUGAGGUAUAUAUGCAAUAUACACAGAAGCCUUAAAGUACAUGCUCACCUCCCUCAGCCUAGUCAUUGGGUUUUAUCCUGAGAAUGGGGUUGACCUAACCAUAAGUGACUUCAAGGAAUCUGUUACUUUUAAAUUAAGACCCCUGAAGGAAUUCAACAGAAGACAAAAAGCUAAGUACAUCAUCUACAGUGUAACAAAAAUUGGCAUAACCUAAAUGUAAAUUAAGUAAAUUGCUAAGUACUAUAGGAUUAAUCCUAUAGGAUUAAGUAAAUUACAGUUCAUCACUUAAUAGUAUAUUACACACACAGGCACACCUUGGAGAUGUUGUGGGUUUGGUUCCAGAAAACCACAGUAAAGCAAAUCACGCAAUAAAGUGAGUCACAUUCAUUAUUAAUAUUUGGUUUUCUAGUGCAUAUAAAGUUAUGUUUACACUAUAAUGCAGUCUGUUAAUUGUGCAGUAGUAUUACAUCUAAAAAGAAAAAACAAUUUACGUACCUUAAUUUAAAAAUACUUUAUUGAUAUUUGAGGUUAUUGGCCCUGGGAGAGGGCCUUGCCUCCCCAUUGAUGGCUGCUGACUGAUCAGGGUGGUGGUUACUGAAGCUUUGGAUGGCUGUGGCACUUUCUUAGACAAGACAGCAAUGGAGAUUGCCACAUUAAUUGACUCUUGCUUUCAUGAAAGAUUUCUCUGUAGCAUGUGAUACUAUUUGAUAGCAUUUUACCCACAGUAGAACUUGCAAAAUUAGAGUCAGUUUUCUCAAACGCUGCCACUGCUUUGUCACCUAAGUUGAUGUGGUUCUCCAAAUCUUUUUUUUUUUUUUUUUGUCAUUU